AGUGUCUGCUUGCUAUUGGCGAAAAGCUAUGAGGAAAAGUGUAAAUGUUAAGUGCUUCCUCAGUGACAUUUGUGCCAUCUCCUGCCAGCGUUGUUCAUCUGGCCAUUGUAGUUGAGCUUUUAGCAGCAGGUCGAUGUGCAAACUGUGAAGUGCUUCCUUCGUUGAUUUCUGCUGAUCAAGCUUCUGUGGAAGGCAUAAGAACUGGUCGAGCCAUUUGUUUUUCUGGUCAAUUGGCAAACCUCUUGCCCUAGCGGUCAAAGAAACUUCACAUACUAAUUUUAACAAAAAUCUACAUCUCUGGUGGUAGAAGAGCAAAGAGAAGCAGAAGAUAAAAGAUAAAAGAACAAAAAUAUACUUUAAAAAAAUGAGAAUGGAUCUAGGGAAACAAGGCACAACAAACUGAGAAAACAAAACAAGGCAGGCUGACAUCAAAAGUCUAGUUAAAACUACUGAAAUAAAGUCCAAUGAAACAACAACCCCAAAAGCAUGAACUGAAUAUAAAAAAGCAAGAAUUGAAAUAAAGAAGCUAUAGAUCAAAA
Podarcis raffonei (Aeolian wall lizard) is the source of this 539-nucleotide long non-coding RNA. RefSeq lists it as uncharacterized. The transcript is spliced from 2 exons. The record is from RefSeq and is a predicted model, not a curated record. NCBI's taxonomy places the organism in Eukaryota, Metazoa, Chordata, Lepidosauria, Squamata, Lacertidae.